RNAcentral lists this ribosomal RNA (500 nucleotides) under uncultured bacterium. RNAcentral describes it as "partial 16S ribosomal RNA". It matches the Rfam family "Bacterial small subunit ribosomal RNA", at positions 30 to 523 of the family's 1533-position model. The record is from RNAcentral.
AUUGAACGCUGGCGGCAUGCCUUACACAUGCAAGUCGAACGGCAGCACGGGAGCAAUCCUGGUGGCGAGUGGCGGACGGGUGAGUAAAGUAUCGGAACGUGCCCAGUCGUGGGGGAUAACGUAGCGAAAGUUACGCUAAUACCGCAUACGAUCUAUGGAUGGAAGCGGGGGAUCGCAAGACCUCGCGCGAUUGGAGCGGCCGAUAUCAGAUUAGGUAGUUGGUGGGGUAAAGGCUCACCAAGCCGACGAUCUGUAGCUGGUCUGAGAGGACGACCAGCCACACUGGGACUGAGACACGGCCCAGACUCCUACGGGAGGCAGCAGUGGGGAAUUUUGGACAAUGGGCGAAAGCCUGAUCCAGCCAUGCCGCGUGCAGGAUGAAGGCCUUCGGGUUGUAAACUGCUUUUGUACGGAACGAAAAGGUUUGGGCUAAUAAGCUGAGCUCAUGACGGUACCGUAAGAAUAAGCACCGGCUAACUACGUGCCAGCCGCCGCCGUAA